CUUCCACAAUGGACGCAAGUCUGAUGGAGCAACGCCGCGUGAGUGAAGAAGGGUUUCGGCUCGUAAAGCUCUGUUGUUAAAGAAGAACGUGGGUGAGAGUAACUGUUCACCCAGUGACGGUAUUUAACCAGAAAGCCACGGCUAACUACGUGCCAGCAGCCGCGGUAAUACGUAGGUGGCAAGCGUUAUCCGGAUUUAUUGGGCGUAAAGCGAGCGCAGGCGGUCUUUUAAGUCUAAUGUGAAAGCCUUCGGCUCAACCGAAGAAGUGCAUUGGAAACUGGGAGACUUGAGUGCAGAAGAGGACAGUGGAACUCCAUGUGUA
Molecule: ribosomal RNA, 322 nt
Filed under: Pediococcus acidilactici
Lineage: Bacteria; Bacillati; Bacillota; Bacilli; Lactobacillales; Lactobacillaceae
Description: bacterial SSU rRNA
Rfam family: Bacterial small subunit ribosomal RNA
Source: RNAcentral